UUAUUUAUUUAUUUAUUUAGAGACGGAGUCUUGCUCUGUUGCCCAGGGUAGAGUACAGUGGCACGAUCUCGGCUUACUGCAACCUCCACCUCCCCGUUCAAGCAAUUCUCCUGCCGCAGCCUCCAGAGUAGCUGGGAUUACAGGUGCCUGCCACCACACCCGGCUAAUUUAUUUGUAUUUUUAGUAGAGAUGGGGUUUCACCAUGUUGUCCAGGCUGGUUUCACAGGAGGCUGAGGCAGGAGAAUGGCGUGAACCCAGGAGGCGGAGCUUGCAGUGAGCCGAGAUCACACCACUGCACUCCAGCUUGGGCGACUGAGCAAGACUGUCUCCAAAAAAAAAAAAAAAAAAAAAAAUGAAACUCAGUAUCACUUUCUGUUGAGUUUAUAACAGUGCUUCUUCCCAAUUCUACCUUCGACGUGGGUAAGUAGAUUCCUACUCAGGGCCCCAGACCUUAAACAGACCUGCUCUAGGCUUGUUUAAGCCAAGUCUCUUCCCAUGGAGGAGGGAGUCAACAGGGCGAAGAGAAUAUGUCCACUGGAGCCUGUUCCCUCUCUCCUAGACCAUUCUGGGUGCUCGCAGGACAUCAAAAUUUCUUGCACAGAAGGGUCAAGUCUACCUACAGGGCAUACACAGCUUUUUCGCAGGGUCACUUCUCCAGACUGGGCCAUGACACUGGGGUGGCCCACGUGGGGUCAUGGAGUGUCAAUGUAGAUGGAGCUUAGAUGUGUGGCCUAUGCUAUUUUUGGCAACGUAAAUGGAGCUUAGAUAUGUGGGCUGUACUAUUGCCCCAGAUCCUGCAAAUGCAACACAAGGGCCUGCUCUCUCCUUCUUGAGCCACCAGCUCUCUUACAAGAUGUCAUUGAGAUCGCUAGCAACUCCAAAGCCUCUGUGUACCUUCUCCACUUUCCUCAAUCUCUACAGAAGGUGGUGAUAAGCACUCACCCCAAGUGGAGAACCAGAAGGGAAAAUAAGAGGUUCCGAGAGCCCAGAGAAUUCCCCCUCAGAGCAAGCAGGGGCUAGACAGCUUUGUACCUCUCCACUGAGCAAAGAGCACUACCCCGUGAUCAGUGAAACACUCUCCAGGAAAACACCAGCAUUCCUGGUAGAUUUGUUUUCCUUUGCUUGUCUCUAAUCGACACACAAGACCUUCUCUGGGCUAUGGAUUCCACAGUCAGAUAUUUAGAGAGAUGUCGCCACUGCCUUCUCCUCAGUGAAGCAGUCUGGCUGAUGCUCCCCCAGGGGAAAUGAAUCACUCUCUUGAUUUUGAACUUGCACAGCCUGUUACUCACACCUUGGCUAGUGACUGACCUGUUCCAUCACACCUUCUGUAGAGGCGAAUCCUAUGAGCUCCCGUAAGGCAGCAGCACCUGACUCACCUGGCUUCCCCACUGGGCCUAGCACAGGGCUCACACACGGUGCAGCUGCUCAGGUGUUCCUCCCUAAAUCAAUUAACUUUAAAAUUCCACCUGGUUGGGAUCAAAGUCAUUGAGAUUUAUGAGAAAAACCAGUCCAACCAGUCCCCACUUCAUGAUUUUCCCCUGUGGCUCUUAGAUCCUGAAUCUGGUUUAUUUUGUCAACUUAAUAUCCUGCUAUCAACACUCACUUUAUACUUGGCCCAUGCAUGGGUAGGGGCGGAGCUUCUUUACAUUCUAAAGACUGGGAGCAUCAAAAAGAGGAAGUUUUAGAGAUUGUAUUAGUUCCCUAGGGCUGCUGUAACAAAAUGCCACAGACAAGGUGGCUUAAAACAACAGAAAUAUGGCCGGGCAUGGUGGCUCAUGCCUGUAAUCCUAGCAGUUUGGGAGGCUGAGGUGGGAGGAUCACCUGAGGUCAGGAGUUCGAGACCAGCCUGACCAACAUGGAGAAACCCCAUCUCUACUGAAAAUACGAAAAAAUUAGCCGGGCAUGGUGGCGGGCGCCUGUAAUCCCAGCUACUUGGGAGGCUGAGGCAGGAGAAUCGCUUGAACCUGGGAGGUGGAGAUUGCGGUGAGCCAAAAUCAUGC
RNAcentral lists this long non-coding RNA (2000 nucleotides) under Homo sapiens (human). RNAcentral's name for it is "non-protein coding lnc-CALM2-11:1". The stretch from base 1759 to 1875 matches the Rfam family "Metazoan signal recognition particle RNA". The record is from RNAcentral. Lineage: Eukaryota; Metazoa; Chordata; Mammalia; Primates; Hominidae.